UACUGAGUGCACCUUUAAAACAAGAAAAAACAGAAAAAAACAAGUUUAUUUUUGUUACUCUACUGGCAAAUAGUUUUGUUUUUUCUUUGAAGUACAUUUAAUAUUCGUACCCACUUGGCAUAUAUUAUUAUUAUUAUUAUUAUUAUUAUUCGUUUUUGCUGAAAAAAGUAAUAUCUUGAAAUUCUGCUUCUCAAGUUAAUGUAUCUUGUAUUAGGAAUGUUCAGAUAUUUUACUGGACAACAAGACAAAAAUACUUAGUAGGAAAAAAAAUAUUUUUAUUUUUGUAUUUUUUAUUUAUUUUUUUGCAUUGUAAAGCCUUCUGUAAAGAAGAGGCUUAUGUCUGAAAACUAGAGCCUCUACUAGGCCUGCCCAGGUGGUGCAGAGUGAUUAGAGUGGAGAGUAAACCCCACCCUUUCCCACCCACCCAUUCGGGCUCUGAAGAGAGCCUAGUCUGCAUGAUACACCUUCCAAACAGUGCACGGACAGAACAUGGGGUGACUGUUACUCUAAAUGUAUGAUCCAGUCAUUUCCUGGACUCAGAAAAUGCAGGUGGCUGCUGCACAUGUGAUCUGAAAUCAAAAGGCAAUUUUUUGGAGAAAUGUCCUCUGGUCUAAUGAAACAAAAAUUGAACUGUUUGGCCAUAAUGACCAUUGUUAUGUCUGGAGAAAAAAGGGUGAGGCUUGCAAGAUGAAGAACACCAUCCCAACCGUGAAGCAUGGGGGUGGCUUUGCUGCACUUCACAAAAUAGAUGGAAUCAUGAGGAAAGAAAAUUAUGUGAAUCUAUUGAAGCAACAUCUCAAGACAUCAGCCAGGAAGUUAAAGCUUUGUCGCAAAUGGGUCUUCCAAAUGGACAAUGACCCCAAGCAUACCUCCAAAGUUGUGGCAAAAUGGCUUAAGGACAACAAAGUCAAGGUACUGGAGUGACCAUCACAAAGCCCUGACCUCAAUCCGAUAGGUAGGACUGAAAAAGCGUGUGCGAGCAAGGAGGCCUACAAACCUGAUUCAGUUAUACCAGUUCUGUCUGGAGGAAUGGGCCAAAAUUCCAGUAACUUAUUUGAGAAGCUUGUGGAAGGCUACCCAAAACGUUUGACCCAAGUUAAACAAUUUAAAAGCAAUGCUACCAAAUACUAACAAAGUGUAUGUAAACUUCUGACCCACUGGGAAUGUGAUGAAAGAAAUAAAAGCUGAAAUCAUUCUCUCUACUAUUAUUCUGACAUUUCACAUUCAUAAAAUAAAGUAGCGAUCCUAACUGACCUAAGACAGGGAAUGUUUUCUACUAUUAAAGGUAAGGAAUUGUGAAAAACUGAGUUUAAAUGUAUUUGCCUAAGGCAUAUGUAAACUUCUGACUUCAACUGUAUAUGUUUGUUUUUUUUUCUUUCUUUUUUUUUUUUAUGUUUCGAAAUGUAUUUUGGACAUGACACGGGCCGAAUUUGAACCUGUGUCCCUGACCUGUGAGCAAAAUUAUGUGUUGUGAGGACUGCCCACUGGGCUGUUGUUCCAAUAAGAAUAUUGCCUUUUUACAAAUUACACAGUUUUUAAUAGAACUUUCACAGUUUAACAUUUCAAAAUAUGACAGCACACAAUGCUUCAAUAUGCAAUGGUUCUUGAGAAUUACGUCAAACCAACAGAAAUUAGGAAGCGGUUCAUUCUAUCUGGCUUUUGGUCAAUACCACAUGAUUCAGCACAGUGGGUUUUAUGUGUGUUUGUUAAGAUGCAGUAAAAGUCUACGUUUAGAGUUUUCACUGACCCUGUUAUUUAACCCUUUUGUAAAUGAAAAUGAGUGCUCAAAACUUAGUUAGAAUUUUAUUGAGUUUAUUGAGUAUGACUUUUUCUUCUGCAAAACACAAAGAGGAAUUUUAAAGGAUGUCCUGUUCACAGAUUUCCAUAAAAUAGCAGUUGAUAUUCAUUUUAAAGCUUAAAAAGGAUCCAGAAGUGUAAUAAAAGUAGUCCAUGUGACUUGAGCAUCAUAGUCCUUGAAGUCUAUUGAAGGCAUACCGUAGGUUAUUGUGAAAAACAACUCAAGUUAUUUACAAUUUAUUUAAAUUAAUUAUUUUUUUUUUUUUUAAUUAUUAUUCAUCUGUUUGUGUUCUGCAGAAGCGAGAACGUCAUAUGGGUUUGGAACAACAUGAGAGUAUAUGUAGGCGAGCCCGGAAAUUUAAUUCGCCAUGGGUUCCCUCUGGAUUUUCCUAUGGGUUUUUAUAAUGGGGUUAUUGAACUGAGUAAAAUAAGGUC
Myxocyprinus asiaticus (Chinese sucker) is the source of this 2232-nucleotide long non-coding RNA. RefSeq lists it as uncharacterized. NCBI's taxonomy places the organism in Eukaryota, Metazoa, Chordata, Actinopteri, Cypriniformes, Catostomidae. The transcript is spliced from 2 exons. The record is from RefSeq and is a predicted model, not a curated record.